Long non-coding RNA from Gorilla gorilla gorilla (western lowland gorilla), 3311 nucleotides. RefSeq lists it as uncharacterized. The transcript is spliced from 3 exons. NCBI's taxonomy places the organism in Eukaryota, Metazoa, Chordata, Mammalia, Primates, Hominidae. The record is from RefSeq and is a predicted model, not a curated record.
UGGUCCAAGUUAAAAGGCAGACACUACUGAAGCUCCAGAGAAGACUCAGUAGCUUCUCGUUUCUGGCAUUUUGGUCACUGGCAUUUGGCAAAACGGCCCUUGAUUUAACCACAGAAAAGGAAUUUGCUGAUACUCAACCAGUCCGCCCCGACUAGUUGUGGACGAUGUCUGCCAGCUGCCUACAGAAUCCACCCCUUUCCUUUGGAAUUCUCUCCUCCUCCUGACGCUGACAAUACCCUUGCCCUUCAGAGGACCUGCCUUCCCACUCUCCAUUGGACACUGUCGAACUUCUUGACGUCCAGUCCCAAGGGCACAGCCACCGCAGGACUUCACGUCUGCCUGCCUGAGCAGGGCUGGUGUCUUAUGAAUGGCAGCUGAGACCCAGUUUGGGCUCACAAUCUCAUAUCACAGAAAUGAACUCAAAGGAAAAUGACUCAUCACCGACCUACUCAGAAUCAUUGGUCCCCGGCAAGCAAGGGUGAUCCUGCAUCGAUCUAUUAAUUUUCAUUUCCGGGGUUCUCAGAUGUAAAACAAAUGUUUGAUGUAAUCCGCAACACUGCUCUGUUAUAAUUAAACAACCUCCUACUGCCUAAAUUGGCAAAGCACUCCAUCGAUCAGUGAUAAAUGUGGUCCUUGGGAGACUGCUUUUAUGUUUGUUUCACUCAUGGGAAAAUGGCCACAACCCUUUUGUAAGAUUCCUCGGCUGCUGCUCUCCCCAGGUUACAAUCAUAGUAACUGCUGCUUCUGGGAUGCCUCGCUGUAAUCCUCAUGUUCAAUGAUGGCUCAGUGGAUAUGUGCUUGAAGGAGAGUGAGUGAUGGGGAGUCUACAAUUAUGAAUAAAAUAUAUUCAAGUCAAUAAACCCUUCCUGGGUUCCUUUGCCUCACCAUUUUAUGCACAAUUUAUGAAGCACCCUACACAUACCAGGAGCUAUUUGCAAUGUUUAAGAUGUGGGAGCCCCCAUAAUUCUAAAUAUGUCAUGUAUCAUCUACUUUCCUCUUUGCAAAGUGGAGGGGUUGGAUUCCUGCCAGGCCUGAUAAUAUAGAUCUGCUGUUCACACAUAGCAUAUAGGAGGCCCUGAUGACUUCCUACUCAUUGCUUCCCUCAUUGUCCAAUUGUUGGGGCCAUUGGGCUGCUGUAUUCAGGCCAGCCCUUGCCCUAGAUCCUAGGAUCCAGCCAGACUUGAGGCAAGGAGACACAUUGCUGUCAGUGUUCCAUCACCCCUAUGGUUAGGCCUCACUGGCUCUGCCACAGUUCAGACACCAAGGCUCCUGCCUUAGUUUUCUAAGAGAUGUUCCCUACAUUGCGCCUGAAUUCAUCCAGUUCAUUUUCACAGAAUAUACUUGAUCUAGUUUAAGCAGAAAGGGAUGUAUCACAGGCUACUAAAUGGCUUAUGAAAUCCUUGGAAAAGCUGAAUAAAUAGACCUUAGGGGGAGCCCCUAGAGCUACUCUCAAAGCUAUCUAGCAGAACCUGGCCACAUUUCCAACCAGGAAGCUGCCUGCAGAAUCAGCAAACAGCCCCCACAUCCGCUGGCUUCAGAACCACCCACCUCUGCUCUCCCCACACAAGUGAGCAGACAUCUCAGCCCUGCCUUUCUGGCCGCCUGACUGCUUGCAAAUUAAAUCUCUCCCAUUUGCACCAGGAAGAGGACCCUAGAUGAUGUCUAGAACUUUGGUUUCUGAUGACUCUAAGGAAUGAGAUUUUUCACCUGCUCAGCCUCUGCAGUCUGGGAAAAACCAGAAGUGUGUUGGAAGUGACACUGAAUGAUCUGGCCCUCAGAUUUGUCAGUUUCCCAAGCAGCAACUUGGCCCUUGCAUAUAUUGAUUUUUAAAUUUCUGUAGUUUGCUCAAUCACCCAGGGCUCUGGGAGCCCAUUUCUAUUGGCUGGAAACCCACUGGGAACCAGCUACUUGCUGACAAAUUCCAAUCCUAUUACUAUUUUGUAUUGAAUAUUUACUCUGCACAGUUCCUAAUUUUCUGCGAAAUGCCUUUUCUCUUUACCACCCUUUGACACAGUUACUGCUCUGUAAACUGAAACACCACUUCUUAUGGCCGCAGUUGUUUGUGCUACGAAUAAGUAAUUCCCUAAGCUCAGCCCAUCAGAUUUUCUCUCGAAUCUGUGGGCUGGAAAUCAAGAUGGUUGAGAACAGCUCUUCUUCUAGUGGCUGAAGUGGUAAAAAUAAUCUCAGUGUGGGUGUGGUGGCUAACACCUGUAAUCUCAGCACUUUGGGAGGCUGAGGUAGGGGGACCACUUUAGGCCUGGAGUUUGAGACCAGCCUGGGCAACACAGCAAGAACCCAUCUCUCCAAAUAAAAAAUUAGUUGGGCAUGGUGGCAUGCGCCUGUGGUCCCAGGUACUUGAGAGGAUGAGGCAGGUGGAUUGCUUGAGUCCAGGAGUUCAAGGCUACAGUGAGCUGUGAUCACACCACUGCACUCCAGUCUGGGCAACAGAGUGAGACGCUGUUUCUAAAAAAAAUAAAAUAAAAUAUGUACAAUUUUUUAAAAAGAAUCUCAGGAGCUCUCAGGCGUGGAGCUCUCAGGCGUCCAGCUCUCAGGAUGCCUGGUCCUGUAAGGGCCUCCAAGAGUGGCUGGAGAGCGGGGCAUGAUGCCUCUUGGGCCACCUUGCAAAGAGCUCACAAGUUCUGCCAGUGAGGAUAGAACCAUCUAUCAUGAGAGUAAAGAAUCAGUGGAUGAGAAGAUGGAAAUAAAGCCAUGACCUGGAGAGGGUGUCCCAAGGCCAUUUCCAUCUCUGGUUUCAGCUUCUCCUGCAUCCUUGCCGCAUUCUAGUUUCAGGGCUCCAUGAGGUAUCUCCAUGUCCUUGUUAUGUUCCCAUUUCUCUUAUUUUGCUUUAGUUUGAGUUGGCCUCCUCUCACAUGAAACAGGGAGUCCACAGUACCAUUGACCCUUGAACUGCACGAGCUUGAAUUGCAUGGGUCCACUUAUAUAUGGAUUUUCUUUUACCUCUGCCACCCCUGAGACAGCAAGACCUAUCCCUCCUUCCUCUUUCCAUCAGUGUACUCAACAUGAAGAUGAUUAGGAUGAAGACCUUCGUGAUGAUGCACUUCUAUUUAAGGAAUAGUAACUAUAUUUUCACUUUCUUAUAAUUUUCUUAAUAACAUUUUCUAUUCUCCAGCUUACUUUAUUGUAAGAAUAUAGUACAUAAUAUAUAUAACAUACAAAAUAUGGGUAAUGCACUGUUCAUGUUAUUGGUAAAGUGUACAGAGCACCUGUGACAUAAGUAAGUCCAUCUUAGAAAAAGACUCCAUCUUACAUUUCAAAAGGCAUCAUGACAACAGGACCAGAUGUUCCCCUAA